GUCUUUUUGAGUUAUUUUUAAAGUCUGACCUGCCCACUGAAUUUUAAAUGGCCGCAGUAUUUUAACUGUGCAAAGGUAGCAUAAUCAUUAGUCUUUUAAUUGAAGGCUGGUAUGAACGGUUGGACGAGGUAUAAGCUGUUUCAUGUAGAUUUAUGAUAGAAUUUUAUAUUUUAGUUAAAAAGCUAAGAUGUAAUUAAAAGACGAGAAGACCCUAUAAAUCUUUAUAUUUUAUAUAGUUUGAAUUUUUUAGAUUUAUUUUAUUUUUAUUAUAUGAAAUAUUUUGUUGGGGUGAUAUUAAAAUUUAAUAAACUUUUAAUUAUUUUAGUUCAUUAAUUUAUGUUUUAUUGAUCCAUUAAUAGUGAUUAUAAGAUUAAGUUACUUUAGGGAUAACAGCGUAAUUUUUUUGGAGAGUUCAUAUCGAUAAAAAAGUUUGCGACCUCGAUGUUGGAUUAAGAUAUAAUUUUAGGUGUAGCUGCUUAAAUGUUAAGUCUGUUCGACUUUUAAAUUCUU
RNAcentral lists this ribosomal RNA (510 nucleotides) under Dacus masaicus. Its description in RNAcentral is "partial 16S ribosomal RNA". The stretch from base 386 to 510 matches the Rfam family "Bacterial large subunit ribosomal RNA", at positions 2473 to 2597 of the family's 2925-position model. Lineage: Eukaryota; Metazoa; Arthropoda; Insecta; Diptera; Tephritidae. The record is from RNAcentral.